This 259-nucleotide unclassified non-coding RNA is filed under the name Penicillium novae-zeelandiae. RNAcentral describes it as "sequence contains 5.8S rRNA gene". The stretch from base 1 to 53 matches the Rfam family "5.8S ribosomal RNA", at positions 102 to 154 of the family's 154-position model. The record is from RNAcentral. Lineage: Eukaryota; Fungi; Ascomycota; Eurotiomycetes; Eurotiales; Aspergillaceae.
GAACGCACAUUGCGCCCCCUGGUAUUCCGGGGGGCAUGCCUGUCCGAGCGUCAUUGCUGCCCUCAAGCCCGGCUUGUGUGUUGGGUCGCGUCCCCCUCCCCGGGGGGACGGACCCGAAAGGCAGCGGCGGCACCGCGUCCGGUCCUCGAGCGUAUGGGGCUUUGUCACCCGCUCUGUAGGCCCGGCCGGCGCUUGCCGAUCAACCACAAUUUUUUCCAGGUUGACCUCGGAUCAGGUAGGGAUACCCGCUGAACUUAAG